UGGGGAAUAUUGCGCAAUGGGGGGAACCCUGACGCAGCCAUGCCGCGUGAAUGAAGAAGGCCUUCGGGUUGUAAAGUUCUUUCGGUAUUGAGGAAGGUUGAUGUGUUAAUAGCACAUCAAAUUGACGUUAAAUACAGAAGAAGCACCGGCUAACUCCGUGCCAGCAGCCGCGGUAAUACGGAGGGUGCGAGCGUUAAUCGGAAUAACUGGGCGUAAAGGGCACGCAGGCGGUUAUUUAAGUGAGGUGUGAAAGCCCCGGGCUUAACCUGGGAAUUGCAUUUCAGACUGGGUAACUAGAGUACUUUAGGGAGGGGUAGAAUUCCACGUGUAGCGGUGAAAUGCGUAGAGAUGUGGAGGAAUACCGAAGGCGAAGGCAGCCCCUUGGGAAUGUACUGACGCUCAUGUGCGAAAGCGUGGGGAGCAAACGGGAUUAGAUACCCUGGUAGUCCACGCUGUAAACGCUGUCGAUUUGGGGGUUGGGGUUUAACUCUGGCGCCCGUAGCUAACGUGAUAAAUCGACCGCCUGGGGAGUACGGCCGCAAGGUUA
RNAcentral lists this ribosomal RNA (547 nucleotides) under uncultured bacterium. RNAcentral describes it as "bacterial SSU rRNA". It matches the Rfam family "Bacterial small subunit ribosomal RNA", at positions 355 to 896 of the family's 1533-position model. The record is from RNAcentral.